GACGAACGCUGGCGGCGUGCUUAACACAUGCAAGUCGAACGGAAAGGCCCUGCUUUUGUGGGGUGCUCGAGUGGCGAACGGGUGAGUAACACGUGAGUAACCUGCCCUUGACUUUGGGAUAACUUCAGGAAACUGGGGCUAAUACCGGAUAGGAGCUCCUGCUGCAUGGUGGGGGUUGGAAAGUUUCGGCGGUUGGGGAUGGACUCGCGGCUUAUCAGCUUGUUGGUGGGGUAGUGGCUUACCCAGGCUUUGACGGGUAGCCGGCCUGGGAGGGUGACCGGCCACAUGGGGACUGAGAUACGGCCCAGACGGCUACGGGAGGCAGCAGUGGGGAAUCUUGCCCAAUGGGCGGAAGCCUGAUGCAGCAACGCCGCGUGCGGGAUGACGGCUUGCGGGUUGUAAACCGCUUUCGCCUGUGACGAAGCGGGAGUGACGGUAAUGGGUAAAGAAGCACCGGCUAACUACGUG
This 468-nucleotide ribosomal RNA is filed under the name uncultured bacterium. RNAcentral's name for it is "partial 16S ribosomal RNA". It matches the Rfam family "Bacterial small subunit ribosomal RNA", at positions 28 to 507 of the family's 1533-position model. The record is from RNAcentral.